GCUCUCCCCACCCAGGGACUCAGCUCAUCACGAGGAGGGGAACGCAGCCGCGGCUUGGCACCCUGCCCACCCAAACGCCCUCUUCCAGCCUUCUCUGUGGUUUCCCCCAGCAGCUCCAGAGGGCCAGGUAUGGGUUUCUCCUGUCAUGCCCAUGUUUUUGCAGAGAGGGCUUUGGGGUCUUUUGGAAAGCGACUUAGCUGGAGCCCCAUGUCUGCCAGCGUGGCAGCUGUUACCACUUAGACCGGGAACAUCUGGCCUGAAGAUUGCAGUAAAAGUGACACUUGUCUACAGAGAAAAAAAUGUUGAAGUGUACGUUUUGGACAUGAAGCAAUAAGUAAUGACAUUUAAUGUUUUCAUAAAGCUGCUACAUCAUGAGCAGCAAUCAGCCCAACCUGAGAGGCCCGGGCAUCCGCCGGCGCAGGAGUACGGUGCAGCGUGCCCGCGGGCUUUGUGGAGGGCGUCUUACCCAGAACGGCAUUACCUAAUGUGGGCUUUAUCCUCUGAAGACAUAGGACAAAGGGAGGCCCUCGUAAGACCCACCCCCCUUUCAAGAUGUAGCUCACAGAAGUGGGGAGAAAGGAGCAAAAUGUAAGGCACCCUCCCCACCAGAUGUCAGGAAAUCUAGCUCCGAGUGAGUUGCAAUUGUGUCCCGGGUAAAUCGUAUUUGGAGGUUCAAGUUUCUCAUCUGUGAAAUGGAGGUGUCAAAGAUGAUAUGUUUAAGGUUGCUCCAUGAGUUUAUACUCUGUGCUUUUUGGAAUAGAGGCAAUUCUACCAUUUCCCUGCCAAUCCCAUAGGUUAAACAUGAUUCUUUCCAGACCCUGCUCUUAAAAUGCACAGUUCCCUUGAUGUGGGGAUUCUUGCAACCCCUCCAACCUCAGAAGAACAGAGAGAGUCAAACAGGGCCAGCCUGAGAGCCCUGAGCUCCCAGAGAAGAAGACAACACACGGCGAGAGAGACCAACCUGCCAACAUGGCCUUGAGGUCAAGUUGGAGUGCGGUCGGUCCUGCGAUGCUCCCAGCACAGCUGGCCCCACCACUGCACCUCAACUUCCAGCAUCCUCUGCAUUUGGUUUCAAAGAGGGGAGCUGAAGAGAAGAGGAAACCUACUUGCUAAAACUGGGUUCCUUUUUGUGGGCAGAGUGUUGAUACGAUGGUAUGCUCACUGCACUGAUUUGGCAGAGAUUGGGUUAAUCAAGUGAGUGUAUAUUGUGAUUUGUGAGAAGUCAGCCCUUUGCAUGAUUUUAACAUGCAGUCGCUAACUGUGGAUGCCUUUGGAUUCAAAAACAACAUUUCCUAUGCCAAAAGACCCAGAAACAAUGCAUUAUUAAUGCACAAAAUAUCGUGAUGAAUAUAUACGUACGUACCUUACUGUGCAGGUUCUAGAGGCACCUGAGAAGAUCCUAGGAGCCCCUUGCUAUGCCUCUUCAACUAAGAGGAGGGAAGCUGAGGCAGGUUCCAUUGCUCCUUAAAUUCCAUCAGGCCCCACCACACCCCUUAUCCCAUCUCCUAAAGCAAGCUCUGAAGCUACCAUUUCUUACGGAGAAGCUGUGCUCUGCUCACCCUUCUUGGUGGAUUCUCUGCUCGGUCAGUCUAACCACAGGAGCCAGGAGACAAAAAUGACCACGUGGAAGGGCCAGAGCUAGGUUGUUGACCAGCCCACCCUGCUCACUCUUGGGCCAAAGCAGGGUUUGUGGGUCCCUAUAGUUGGGUGAUGCAGUUUGUCUAAGCUUUAGUCUGUAGGACUUGAUUUGAUUUUGUACGUCUGGCAGCUUUUCUGGUCUCUUCUAGGAGCAGAGAUCAAAUCUUGUGUUUGGGGCUAAGACCCUGAGCAAGGCUACAGCCUGGGCCUGGGAAUCAGAAUGGUGAGCAGCACAAACAUCUGGGGGUGGAGUCUUGCUAAAAAUGCAGCUUCCAAGUCAGUAGAUCAGAGGCAGAGCUUGAGUGUCUGCAUUUCUAACAAGUUCCCAGGUGAGGUCAAGGCCACCAGCAGACCACACUUUACUGUCAAGGGAGGGUACCUUCAUUAUGACCUAGAGAUUUCGAGUCAAAGGCACCUGGGUUUAAGUCCUGGCUGCAGGCCUAUCUAACUAUGCGAUUCCCAGACAAGUGAUGGGAUAUCUCUAAGCCUGAGACAGAAAGUGAGAAUAAUCAUCAGUCAGACCUCGGGGGUUUGCUGUCAGGGUUCAAGCCCAUCGCGCAGGGGGGCAGGGGCCCCAGAGUCAGGGCGGACAAGGACCCUGGGAAGACCUGGGCUGGCUCUGCCCGCUGAGGCUUCAGCCCACUUCCAGGACCACACUCAUGAGCUUCUAUCCAGCCAUGGAGAGGCCAGGACCUCCCGUCUCUGUUAAUAAAACAGGGGUAACCAGAAUGACACCUUCUCCUGGUGGAGCCACACAACCGAGUUCUUGAAAUCACUCUGAUGGCGUUAGUGAUUGAAAUCACGGGUUCUUCCUGUCCCACCAGGAGCCCUGUGUGCACCUGACUCACAGAAAUCAGUAUAAACUCUUUUAAAGAGGUAUGUACCUUUCCUCAUCUAGACUUCAUGGGUGACUAGAACGGAUAGGACUCAUCUCGAACAUGUUACGCUGCUUUUAGAAAUGAAUAAGACAUGUAAAGUGCCAUGUUUGUUUAGAGACCUGUAAGUAGACAUGUUUUUACCAAAACAAAAUUGCAAAGUACUGUCAAAAUAAAAGAAAAACAUUUAAAAAAAUUUCUAUUGGCUAGCAACAAAUGUCAUGACCCAAGUAACGCAGGGGAAUAAUCAGCCAUCUAGCGUUUCUGUUCAGCUGUCUAGACUGCUUCUGUGUGAAUAACCAUCCAUCAGACCUAUUACAAAAUCUGGAAUGUGCAGAGUGCAUGAGCAAACAAAAGCGAUUUAGCUUGUUUCGCACCUUCCUUCUCAUUGAAGCUUCCAGUAACGCUUGUAUAAGGAACUAUGGAUUGGGGGCGGGGGGAGAUGGCCCAGCAGGUGGUGUUAGAAACACCUUUUCCUCUCUUCCCCUCUCUUUAUCCCAAAUGUGACCUUCUCCAACAAGAAGCUAAUUCCAGCGUGCCUGAAGCUCCCCUUCCCUGUGGCCUCUGGGUGACCUAACCUCCCAGGACAGCUGUGCUGGCUGGUUCUCUCCUGAGCCUCUGUAUUCCCAGGGCAGCUCUCACAUGGAAAUGACUUUUUCCUCUGUGGGCUGAGGGGAGUAUUUUUCUCAAGAGCCAGGAGGGCUCACUCACUUACAUAAAUCCUACAUGUUGGCAGCCCGGGAGCUUCCGAAAGGAUGCGAGUGGAGGGAACCCCGGCGCUGCCCCCAGAUCACUCACCAUCCCUCUGCACAACAUGGGUCCUAAAGUUUUGAAACAGAGAAGGCAUUUGAUAGUUAUCUGGUCCAGCCCACUUCUCUUAGAAGAUAAGGAGGAGGUUUACACAAAGAAACACCUACUCAAGUGAAUAAACUGCUUUAAGGAAGAGCCCUUUCUUUGACUCUGGAUAACUUUUCUCUCCUUAGAAUCCUUAGCAAAAUUCAGAUACCAGGGGGUUUGGGAGGUGGGGGCAGGAAGGCAGAAUCAUACUUAACCCACAGUUCUCGCCGAGCAUGUGCUGGAAAGACCACUGGCAUCCAAAUCACCUUCGGAUCUUUUAUAACAUCGAGACUCUUGGGGCCCCUGCAGGCCUCCUGCAUCAGAAACUUGUCUGGGGAUCUGCACUGGGAAAGAACCUCUCAGAGUGACUCUGGGACACAGGACUUUGAAAAGCACUUUCUAGAAUUCCCUUGUGGCAUGGCGGGUUAAGUCUGUGGAGUUGUCACUGCAGUGGCUCAGGUUGCUGCUGUGGAGUGGGUUUGAUCCCUGGCCCAGAACUUCUGCUCCCAAGAAGAAAAGCACUUUCUUAAACCAUUAGCCCAUUAACUGCCAGGUAUCACUCCAGCAAGGAUUAGCUGACUGACCAGCUGUUAAGCAGAGGCAGAAGGCCAGUCCUGGUCCUCCCUUUCUUCAUUGGGUGGCCUCUGUACCCGGCGGACUGACCCUGAAAUGCCCUGAGCAGCAUCCUGCUGAGUUGAUUCCAGUCUCUCAGGCACUUUGCCGCCCCUGCAGGACCUUGGGCAUUGAGAACUCAGCAUUUUCCAUUCACAUGGGCCCAGUGGCCUUCUGCAGCUCCCCCUGGCUCUCUUCUUAGAAAAUUAAGAAAGAACAAGCCCCAUGACCAUGCAUGGCUUAUCCUUUUUAAAGAUAAAUCUCCUGAAAUGUUUGUUACAGGAUUUUUGGCAAACCAAGUCCUGAUUCCAGAAAUUCCUUAUCUGGAAUACAUUGAUAUUCAUGCUCUAGUUUUAAGUUUUCUCUCCAUCUCCUUAUCGUUGCCAUGUGAUAUGCAAAUGAAUAGCCAAAUAUUCUGAAAGGACCCAACCGUUAGUCAUUUGGAAGAGAGAAAUCAUGCGGUAAAAUACAUCCCUUAUUUGUGUUUUGGAUAUGCUCAACGUGUUUCAGCGAAUGCUUUUCUCUUCAAAGGAAAGGUUCUCAUGGAAGGCCCAGGAGGUAUGAUCAGUGAAUGGAUUUGCCUGGAGUCACGCGGGAAUAAAGGGAGCUAUGGUGGGAGCUGACAUUCAGAGUGCCCACUGAGACCAGGGAGGAAGGGCACCUGGCCCUCGCUGGUGGCUGCAAGAGGGAAUAUGGCUCUUGCUCUGGGCAGACACACUGCUACACUGUGGCGUGGCUCAGAUCCAGGAAUACUGCCCCUUCUCUGUCCUGAGCCUAACUUCAUAGAAAUCAGAGAAACAUUCUUCUAGUAGAGGGAGUGGCCCUCUCCUAGCUUGCAGGUCACUCUGGAUUUGCCCAAGGGGCAAAUCUUAUGGAGCAUCCUCAAUUCCCAUUGCUCAAGCCCAUCAUACCUUCUCCUCAAAGCCUCUGUUUCAACCACACCUGGAGGGUGGAGGCCACUUCUUAGAGCUGCAUCGGGGUGCCUUCCAAGUUCCCAGGGGUGGUGGUGGCUUCACUCCCAGUCUGGCCACCAUUUGAGGGACCUAGCACUUCUUCAGUGUGACAGUCUGAAUGCGGGAAGACCCUGCCCUAAACACCAAAGAGGCAGAAGCCCCUUCCAUCCACUCGCUGUCAUCACUAGUCACUUAGUCAUCAGGGGAGGCCCCCAGGGCUCCACAUCACUUAGGGAGCACUGGUAGCCUUAGUAGUCCUUUGGAAUGUCUGAGUCAGGUCCCUUCCCUUGACCCUUCUCAUUGAAAGCUCAGGGUGAGGAACCUCAAAACCCUACCUCUUACUGGAGCAGAGAAUGAUGGGUGGCGGGGAGCAGAGCCUUCCUCUGAUGGUCUAGAGCAGGGGCAGGGAGCCUGUCUUUCCCUCAGUCCCCAGCUUGCUUUCUUUGCGCAUGAUCUCAAGCCUUUGCUCCAAGGAAUGCUGUAAGUCUUGGAACAGACUCUUGGAGCAUUUCUUUCUCUUCGAAAGAAAUUUCAAGGUCUCUUUUCUUCCUUUUCAGAAAUUGUGCAAUUUCAGCUCUAAACUUCCCAGUGCUUCUGCAAGGAGUGUUGUAAGGAAGGUGGCUGGCGGCCUGUGAGAUCCGCAUGGGGCUAAGCCCCCAAGGAUCUCCUACACCCCUCCUUGCUUUCUUUUGUUGGCGAAGAACAGACCAAAGAGCAUGUUAGCGUUUUUAGGGCUUUUCUCUUCCAGUCUCUGUGGUCUCCAUGUCUAUCUCGAAAGCUGGGGCUUUGAUGACAGAAGAGAGCAUCAAAGAUGCAGCUUUGCCCAACUUGUAAAACAGUAGAAUAGGGGUCACCUGGGCUGGGGGUGGGGUUGUGAUGGUAAGUGUACAAAUUUACAACCAGUAGGUAAGUUCUGGAUGCACAGUGUAGUGAUUAUAGUCAAAAACACUGUAUUAUAAACUAAAGAGUUGCUAAGAAACUAGAUUUAAUUGCUCUCACCACAAAAAGAAAUGAUAAUCACAUGAAGUUAUACAGCGUGUGCAUGAGCUCGCGCUGCGGUGGUCAUAGGUACUCGUUAAACUUACGCAAGGUUAUAUGUCUAUUACAUCUCGAUAAAAUUUUCUUGAACGUUUUUAAAAAGUUGCAGGUUCUAUGCCAAGGAGUAAAGAGGGUCCGACUAGAAUAUUCUGUAGGGAAUUCCAGGAAGGAAAGGGAACAGCCAAGGACCUGGAAUCCAGUGGCCUAGGAGGAAGGUGAGGGUAAGAGGCAGCAUUGCUGUUUCAGGGGAUCUGAUCCACAGGAUUUAGACACGGGCUCCUCCUCUCCAUUCCUUGAGUUCCCUCUGUUCCUUUGGAAUGAGAAUCCUCCAAGGGGACCUGGGUACUGCAGGGCCGGGGAGGGAGAAAGGGAGUGGGCAUGAGAGUGAGACCCUCCGUAACUAACCUCAACGGAGCUACCUGGCAGGAAGCCCUAACCCAGCUCAGUGUGUGCAGAAAAGCCUUACAGUAGAUCCUGGCUUAUCAUUUUUCCCAGGACCAGAAACUCAUGCUGGUAGAUAGUUACCAAGGAUUUCGGAUUAUUAAAAACAAAACAAAACCAAAAAGGAAAAAAAAAACAGCAAAAUAAAAACCCUCACAAAUCUGGAGCGGGGUGGGGUGGGGGAACAGAGACCUUGUUUUUUGUUCUUUGGAAGGACAAGAACUUGUGUAGGUUUAAAUGAGUAGAGAGAAUUUUGUAACUCAGAAAAGAUGUAAAGU
Molecule: long non-coding RNA, 6672 nt
Filed under: Sus scrofa (pig)
Lineage: Eukaryota; Metazoa; Chordata; Mammalia; Artiodactyla; Suidae
Description: lncRNA (ENSSSCG00000062289.1)
Source: RNAcentral